AGUGAACGCUGGCGGUAGGCCUAACACAUGCAAGUCGAACGGCAGCACAGUAAGAGCUUGCUCUUACGGGUGGCGAGUGGCGGACGGGUGAGGAAUACAUCGGAAUCUACUUUUUCGUGGGGGAUAACGUAGGGAAACUUACGCUAAUACCGCAUACGACCUACGGGUGAAAGCAGGGGAUCUUCGGACCUUGCGCGAUUGAAUGAGCCGAUGUCGGAUUAGCUAGUUGGCGGGGUAAAGGCCCACCAAGGCGACGAUCCGUAGCUGGUCUGAGAGGAUGAUCAGCCACACUGGAACUGAGACACGGUCCAGACUCCUACGGGAGGCAGUAGUGGGGAAUAUUGGACAAUGGGCGCAAGCCUGAUCCAGCCGUACCGCGUGGGUGAAGAAGGCCUUCGGGUUGUAAAGCCCUUUUGUUGGGAAAGAAAGGCAGCAGGUUAAUACCCCGCUGUUCUGACGGUACCCAAAGAAUAAGCACCGGCUAACUUCGUG
Molecule: ribosomal RNA, 492 nt
Filed under: uncultured bacterium
Lineage: Bacteria
Description: partial 16S ribosomal RNA
Rfam family: Bacterial small subunit ribosomal RNA
Source: RNAcentral